RNAcentral lists this long non-coding RNA (1420 nucleotides) under Macaca mulatta (Rhesus monkey). RNAcentral describes it as "lncRNA (ENSMMUG00000058471.1)". Lineage: Eukaryota; Metazoa; Chordata; Mammalia; Primates; Cercopithecidae. The record is from RNAcentral.
CAUCUCACUUCAUACCCAGUGGUAGCUCCACAAUCAUCUUCCAUGACCUGAAUGCUCGUGUGAGCAGAACACUACGAAGCACGUUACCUGAGCAUCUCAUUUGAUUCCCACAAUCAGCUUACACUGUGGGCUCUUACCGCCUUCAUCCUGUAGACAAGGAGUCUGGGGCUCACGGGGCACAGGUGACGUGCAAACCUCAUCGAGCCAGCAAGCGUCAGCAGUGUCCAGCCGAGAACAGUCGCGACUCUCCUGUCACGCCGUUCACAUCUCUACACGCACAAGUGUCUGCAGCCUCUCCAUUCUGUCCCCCAGAGCAGCAUGUUCUGCUUUUAGAGACCAGCAGGGCACUCAGGAGUAACUGGUUGGGCAAGUCACAUCUUUCCUCCUCCUCUGCCUCCUCCUCCAUCUCCUUGUUCUUUCUCAGUGUUUUCCUGAGUGGGAGUGAACCCAACUCCGGUGAGCUGGGCCUAAACAACUGAGCUGUUGAGGUGUCUUCAUUCCCCAGGGCUGCUGCAACAAAACACCAGAAACCGGAUGGUUUCAAACAACAAACUGAUUGUCCCACAGAUGGAGCACCCAGGAGCCUGCAAUUGAGAGGCUGGCAGGGCCACGCUCCCUUUGGGGGUUCCAGGGAAGAACGUAUUCCAUUCUCCAGGCUUCUGGAGCUGCAGGCAGUCCCCGGAGCUCCUUGACUAGGAGAUGCAGCACUCCCACCUCUACCUCCGCCAGGCAUGGUGUCUGCCCUGUGCUCCUCUAGGCAUCUCUCCUUCUCUUAUAAGGACACCAGUCCCAUUGGAUCAGGGCCCACCCUACUCCAGAAUGACCUAAUCUCAACCAAAUACAGCAAGCCAUGAUGCUAUUUUCAAAGACGUUCCAGGAAGGACAGGAGUAUAGGGGGGAAAGCCCUAUUCAAAUCCUGUAUGUGCCGUAUGGAAAUACGGUAUGAAAUGUGUGUAAACCAAUUGACCCUGUAGGUCAAUUCCUAGUCCUCAGUUUCCCACAGAGGGGAGAGGCCUGUGCCUUUCUCUCCACCCCACUGUCGUGUGCCUCUCUGCAGGUGAGACCGAGAGGAGGAGGGAGCCUGCGUGGGCCGCUCAGCUGCUGGGGUGCUCUCUGUUUCCCGCCUCGUGCCUCUAAAGAAGGGAGCGGUCUUCUUCUGUGUCCCUGCUUCCCCGUGCUCAGCAUGGUGGGCUCGGGCCCCACCUGCCUUCUGGAAGCCCUGGAAGCCUGUCUGCAGAGAAAAGUGACUAUACAUCUGAAAAUAUCUGGAUUAAGGACUGACAGUGUCCGUGCAAGUAGAAAGGAAUUAUCUCCUGUAACCCCCAACCCACCAAGGUCCUUUGAAGAUAUCACUGCUAUCAAAACAGCCUUGCUACGGAGGAGAGCACUAGCUGUGACUUUCAGUUUUUCAGAAGCAUGA